UUAUACCUACAUACGACAAUAUACAGUAAUUUAGUAUACUCUGUCGACUCUGUCCACGGUCGUAUAUGCAGGUCUGGGCACUCCCAUAUAUUUCGUAUACCCCACAGUGUGCAUCUAUCUGAGGCACAUGUUCCCACAUUGGCCGCAAAAGCGCGGAGCGCUGCAAUCUCGGGAGCACGUGUGUGACAGCGACAGAGCGAUAUAGACGGUGGCGAGGCUGUAAUGCGCGCAUGCCUUCCGUCACUAGCGACGUGGCGAAAUUUGAAAAUAUUCGCCUCAGUUAGAGGCACAGGUUUUUGGACAGAGUGCCCAGACCUGUAUACACGACCGUGACUCUGUCCAACUGAAAAUGUCAUGGCGGGUAAAACAAUUUCAAAGCGACGCUUUCGAGGGUAAAUGGUAUGUCGGAAUUAUUUCUGGUUCGUGAUAUGAAGUUUUUCCGGUUCGUCUCGAGUCUACGGUUUUGCUGAUCAAAUAAUUUCCAUGUUUCCCGUUGGAUGGUCAGGAUACAAUCGUGCGUUCACUUGGUGGGCAGAAGAGAAGUCUAUACCUGAAUUUCUUGCAACUAAAGUUAGAAACGCACAGACCGAACAAACUAGGGAUAGCGAUAGAACAAACCGAUAGAUUAAAGUUGUCCUACAGAAGCAUCUGCAACAAGUAGAAAAAAGUAUUAUUUGCAUUCUGCAUCAUGAACAAACGAAAGAUAGUUGAGGAUAUUGACAAGGCACAGGGAUUCAAGCGUGCCUUGGAACCAGAAAAAAUAAUCGGAGUAUCAGAUUGCGGUGGCGAGUUGAUGUUCUUGAUGAAAUGG
Molecule: unclassified non-coding RNA, 811 nt
Filed under: Neodiprion lecontei (redheaded pine sawfly)
Lineage: Eukaryota; Metazoa; Arthropoda; Insecta; Hymenoptera; Diprionidae
Description: uncharacterized LOC107219501, transcript variant X1
Source: RNAcentral